This 794-nucleotide unclassified non-coding RNA is filed under the name Bombus terrestris (buff-tailed bumblebee). Its description in RNAcentral is "misc RNA ENSBTSG00005023482.1". Lineage: Eukaryota; Metazoa; Arthropoda; Insecta; Hymenoptera; Apidae. The record is from RNAcentral.
GUUCCUUUCAAGUGAAUACAUGUAUUUAUUGCUAGCGUCUACUAUUACAGUUUGUACCCAUUAAUAUCUUUAAAAAAUGUCACAAUUAUGCUUUAUUUGCAAUUAACUUUUGACGGUAGGUGAAACUGUAACAGUUAGUCGUGGAAUGAAAACUUUGAUUGAUGCGAGUAUCGAAAGAGGCGAUGAGUUUGUUGAUUAUCUGAGAAGUGAAAAGUCUGUAACAGUUCACGUGGAUUGCCGAAAAUCAUACAUCGGGAAAAGUUCAAUUACUGCUAUCAAAAGACAACAUGAGGAUGGACAAGCUAGUACAUCAAAACGAUGAAGCGGAUGAAGAGGCUGAAAGAAAAUUUCUGCAUCGUCGACAAAAAAUUUAUAACGUUGCUACACUUUCAUUCAAAGAAUCCGUUUUGACAGUAGCUCAGGAUCGUUCUGAUGACGUAUCAAAAGCUGUUACUGCAUUAAUUUUGAGUUUGAUUUAGUUGCUGCUGAGGUGCGAAGAAGCCAUCUUACCACGAGACAAACGAUAAAUAAUGAAGGAAGAUACGUCUAGUUUCUCGGCGACCGUCAAUUAUAUUCUCCGGUUAAUACGUACUGUUCGUCAUCGUUAUAUAAAUGUCACUGCUGUACCACGAAUAAAGGCUGAUGGAAAGGCAAAGGUUGCGAUGACGGUAGAUUUAGUUUUGUUUGAGUUAAUUGCGUUCUUUGAAAAAGAUUGAAGCAACUUCUUAAGGACAUAUUUAAAAAAACAAUUACUUCAAGCAGAACGUUUCUUAAGGAGAAAAUUUUAAGAGUUU